AUUUUGGCGAAGGGUCUGGGGGCCGCUCAAGGCCACCAGAAGCUCUGAGAAAAAUAACCCAAAAUCAUGCAUUCUGAGCGUUCCACGGACUCUUUCUUACAUUUAAACGCAAAUAAUCUUUAGCUAUUUUUUCGACAAUAUUCUGGUCUCAAAGCAAAAACACAGAUUUAUUGUAAUUUAAGACUUUUAGGUUUAAGGGGCA
This 202-nucleotide long non-coding RNA is filed under the name Mytilus galloprovincialis (Mediterranean mussel). The record is from RNAcentral. Lineage: Eukaryota; Metazoa; Mollusca; Bivalvia; Mytilida; Mytilidae.